UACAGAGGGUGCAAGCGUUAUCCGGAUUUACUGGGCGUAAAGCGCCCGUAGGCGGCUUGAAAAGUUGGACGUGAAAGCUCCUGGCUUAACUGGGAGAGGCCGUUCAAAACUGUCAGGCUAGAGUAUGGAAGAGGAGCGUGGAAUUCCCGGUGUAGUGGUGGAAUGCGUAGAGAUCGGGAGGAACACCAGUGGCGAAAGCGGCGCUCUGGUCCAAAACUGACGCUGAGGGGCGAAAGCGUGGGGAGCGAACGGG
This 253-nucleotide ribosomal RNA is filed under the name uncultured bacterium. RNAcentral's name for it is "partial 16S ribosomal RNA". It matches the Rfam family "Bacterial small subunit ribosomal RNA", at positions 524 to 776 of the family's 1533-position model. The record is from RNAcentral.